RNAcentral lists this ribosomal RNA (253 nucleotides) under uncultured bacterium. Its description in RNAcentral is "partial 16S ribosomal RNA". It matches the Rfam family "Bacterial small subunit ribosomal RNA", at positions 524 to 776 of the family's 1533-position model. The record is from RNAcentral.
UACGUAGGGCGCAAGCGUUGUCCGGAAUUAUUGGGCGUAAAGAGCUCGUAGGCGGUUUGUCGCGUCUGUCGUGAAAGCCCACGGCUUAACCGUGGGUCUGCGGUGGAUACGGGCAGACUAGAGGCAGGUAGGGGAGAAUGGAAUUCCUGGUGUAGCGGUGAAAUGCGCAGAUAUCAGGAGGAACACCGGUGGCGAAGGCGGGUCUCUGGGCCGUAACUGACGCUGAGGAGCGAAAGCAUGGGGAGCGAACAGG